GGGGAAUAUUGCACAAUGGGCGAAAGCCUGAUGCAGCAACGCCGCGUGAGUGAUGAAGGUCUUCGGAUUGUAAAGCUCUGUCUUUUGGGACGAUAAUGACGGUACCAAAGGAGGAAGCCACGGCUAACUACGUGCCAGCAGCCGCGGUAAUACGUAGGUGGCGAGCGUUGUCCGGAUUUACUGGGCGUAAAGGGUGCGUAGGCGGAUGUUUAAGUGAGAUGUGAAAUACCCGGGCUUAACUUGGGUGCUGCAUUUCAAACUGGAUAUCUAGAGUGCAGGAGAGGAGAAUGGAAUUCCUAGUGUAGCGGUGAAAUGCGUAGAGAUUAGGAAGAACACCAGUGGCGAAGGCGAUUCUCUGGACUGUAACUGACGCUGAGGCACGAAAGCGUGGGUAGCAAACAGGAUUAGAUACCCUGGUAGUCCACGCCGUAAACGAUGAGUACUAGGUGUAGGAGGUAUCGACCCCUUCU
Molecule: ribosomal RNA, 470 nt
Filed under: uncultured bacterium
Lineage: Bacteria
Description: partial 16S ribosomal RNA
Rfam family: Bacterial small subunit ribosomal RNA
Source: RNAcentral